GAAAAGGAAAGAAAAGAAAGAAGGAAGAAAGGAAGGAGGAAGAAGGGAAAUCGGGGAGGGAGGAGAAGAAGAAGGAGAGGGAGGAUCGGCAUUCGUGGCAGGCCGUCUGGGGCGACGGAGUUGGCCGACGAAGUAGCUAGCGUCGGCGAGCAAGGCGGCAACAAACAAUGGCGGCAUCGGUAGCAGAAAAAAAAAAGAGCGAAAGGCAUCGGCUGUCAACAUCAUUUGAGCCGUUUCCGGUGGCCGAGUCGGGUGGCGAUCGAAUCACUCGAGUGUGGGCUUCCUUUUGGGAGCAGCAGCGACGCAAAUGGUGGUCGGAGUUGGAAGUUCGCGGUGGAAAGAGAAAUUGGAGGGCAGCUGGAGUUUUUGGGCUUUUCCGGCGUGUUCCUGAGAGCUUUGGCUGAUCGGAGGACAUAUUUGGACUCUCCUCAGCUUAAGCUUUCCAAUGGCACCGGUUUUGCAGCGAUCGGACUCCAUUUGAAAAUCGACGGCCGAGAUCGUCCGUAAAUUUCUCUGGAUGAUCAGGGGUCGGAUUGGAAGAAUAGUGUUGGAAUCGUCGUCAGCGCGCUGUCUCGAGUCUAUAGGCGCAUUCGGAUCGUCGAUCGGACUCUAGCAGCUGGAGGCGAGUCGACCGAGUGAUCAUGCAUCUCGAUAAUCCAUCAGUUCGGCUCGCUCCACCGGAGUCAUCGGAGCAGAGCUAGGAGGUCGUCAAAGCUGUGAUUGUUAGUCUUUCCAUAGUUUUUAUUUAGCAGUCCGACUCCUUCAUCAUCGAGUUGAUGUAAUUGAUUUUGGUAUUUUUGAAUUAUAAAAUUUUAGAUUCUUCGCAGUAGAAAUCUUAGACUUAUCAAUUUGUAAUUUUAUAUAAAUUCAAGUCUUGCCUAAUUAUACAGGUGGACCGAAUUUAAUUUAUAGUACCCGUUAGUAUAAAAUUAAUUGUGAAAAAAAUGCUUUAGUUUGA
Ricinus communis (castor bean) is the source of this 958-nucleotide long non-coding RNA. RefSeq lists it as uncharacterized. The transcript is spliced from 3 exons. NCBI's taxonomy places the organism in Eukaryota, Viridiplantae, Streptophyta, Magnoliopsida, Malpighiales, Euphorbiaceae. The record is from RefSeq and is a predicted model, not a curated record.